CUUUUGCGUCUAAGACAGAUCUUUAAUGGAGUAUUUCUUAAGGUGAACAAAGCCACAUUACAGAUGUUGCAAAGAGUCGGGCCUUACAUUACCUAUGGAUAUCCCAAUCUUAAGACUGUCAAGGAAUUGAUCCACAAAAGGGGCUAUAGAAAGCUUAACAAGCGAAUAACCGCUUUGACCGACAAUUC
Papaver somniferum (opium poppy) is the source of this 188-nucleotide long non-coding RNA. RefSeq lists it as uncharacterized. The transcript is spliced from 3 exons. The record is from RefSeq and is a predicted model, not a curated record. NCBI's taxonomy places the organism in Eukaryota, Viridiplantae, Streptophyta, Magnoliopsida, Ranunculales, Papaveraceae.